UCCUUUAUCCUGGGAACCUGGCGUAGGGGUGAACUGAACACUAGGAUCAAGUGUAGGAUCUGUUCUCAUCAGUGUAAUAUCUGAUAUGUCAUCUAUAAGAGGACUUCAUAUUAAAUGGGUUUUUAGAACAGGGACUUGCCCCACUCACCCCACGCUGACCUGGUAACACAGAUCUCCUGGAGCAGCCGUGGCUCA
Electrophorus electricus (electric eel) is the source of this 195-nucleotide small nuclear RNA. Its record names the gene U2. It matches the Rfam family "U2 spliceosomal RNA". From Rfam's summary of the family: U2 is a small nuclear RNA (snRNA) component of the spliceosome (involved in pre-mRNA splicing). Complementary binding between U2 snRNA (in an area lying towards the 5' end but 3' to hairpin I) and the branchpoint sequence (BPS) of the intron results the bulging out of an unpaired adenosine, on the BPS, which initiates a nucleophilic attack at the intronic 5' splice site, thus starting the first of two transesterification reactions that mediate splicing. NCBI's taxonomy places the organism in Eukaryota, Metazoa, Chordata, Actinopteri, Gymnotiformes, Gymnotidae. The record is from Ensembl.